This 250-nucleotide ribosomal RNA is filed under the name uncultured prokaryote. RNAcentral's name for it is "partial 16S ribosomal RNA". It matches the Rfam family "Bacterial small subunit ribosomal RNA", at positions 524 to 774 of the family's 1533-position model. The record is from RNAcentral.
UACGUAUGGAGCAAGCGUUAUCCGGAUUCAUUGGGCGUAAAGCGCGCGUAGGCGGUCUGUUAGGUCGGGAGUCAAAUCCGGGGGCUCAACCCCUGUCCGCUCCCGAUACCGGCAGACUUGAGUUUGGUAGGGGAAGGUGGAAUCCCAAGUGUAGCGGUGGAAUGCGCAGAUAUUUGGAAGAACACCGGUGGCGAAGGCGGCCUUCUGGGCCAUAACUGACGCUGAGGCGCGAAAGCUAGGGGAGCGAACA